GGACGCUUCACCGGUUUCGGCCGGUGGGGAGUGGCGCACGGGUGAGUAGCGCGCGGGAACCUGCCCUGUUGUGGGGGAUAACCGAGGGAAACUUCGGCUAAUACCGCAUGCGCCCCCGGACUUGUUCCGGGGGGAAAGAUUUAUCGCAGCAGGAGGGGCCCGCGUCGGAUUAGGUAGUUGGCGGGGUAACGGCCCACCAAGCCUUUGAUCCGUAGCUGGUCUGAGAGGAUGAUCAGCUACACUGGGACUGAGACACGGCCCAUACUCCUACGGGAGGCAGCAGUGGGGAAUAUUGGACAAUGGGCGCAAGCCUGAUCCAGCAAUGCCGCGUGAGUGAUGAAGGCCUUCGGGUUGUAAAGCUCUUUCGCCCGCGACGAUGAUGACGGUAGCGGGAGAAGAAGCCCCGGCUAACUUCGUGCCAGCAGCCGCGGUAAU
Molecule: ribosomal RNA, 435 nt
Filed under: uncultured bacterium
Lineage: Bacteria
Description: bacterial SSU rRNA
Rfam family: Bacterial small subunit ribosomal RNA
Source: RNAcentral